This 68-nucleotide transfer RNA is filed under the name Chironomus yoshimatsui. Its description in RNAcentral is "tRNA-Trp". Lineage: Eukaryota; Metazoa; Arthropoda; Insecta; Diptera; Chironomidae. The record is from RNAcentral.
AAAACUUUAAGUUAAAAAAACUAAUAGCCUUCAAAGUUAUAAAUAAAAGGUGUAUCUUUUAAGUUUUA